AGAGUUUGAUCCUGGCUCAGGAUGAACGCUGGCGGCGUGCCUAAUACAUGCAAGUCGAACGAGUUCUGAUUAUUGAAAGGUGCUUGCAUCUUGAUUUAAUUUUGAACGAGUGGCGGACGGGUGAGUAACACGUGGGUAACCUGCCCUUAAGUGGGGGAUAACAUUUGGAAACAGAUGCUAAUACCGCAUAAAUCCAAGAACCGCAUGGUUCUUGGCUGAAAGAUGGCGUAAGCUAUCGCUUUUGGAUGGACCCGCGGCGUAUUAGCUAGUUGGUGAGGUAACGGCUCACCAAGGCAAUGAUACGUAGCCGAACUGAGAGGUUGAUCGGCCACAUUGGGACUGAGACACGGCCCAAACUCCUACGGGAGGCAGCAGUAGGGAAUCUUCCACAAUGGACGCAAGUCUGAUGGAGCAACGCCGCGUGAGUGAAGAAGGCUUUCGGGUCGUAAAACUCUGUUGUUGGAGAAGAAUGGUCGGCAGAGUAACUGUUGUCGGCGUGACGGUAUCCAACCAGAAAGCCACGGCUAACUACGUGCCAGCAGCCGCGGUAAUACGUAGGUGGCAAGCGUUAUCCGGAUUUAUUGGGCGUAAAGCGAGCGCAGGCGGUUUUUUAAGUCUGAUGUGAAAGCCCUCGGCUUAACCGAGGAAGUGCAUCGGAAACUGGGAAACUUGAGUGCAGAAGAGGACAGUGGAACUCCAUGUGUAGCGGUGAAAUGCGUAGAUAUAUGGAAGAACACCAGUGGCGAAGGCGGCUGUCUGGUCUGUAACUGACGCUGAGGCUCGAAAGCAUGGGUAGCGAACAGGAUUAGAUACCCUGGUAGUCCAUGCCGUAAACGAUGAAUGCUAGGUGUUGGAGGGUUUCCGCCCUUCAGUGCCGCAGCUAACGCAUUAAGCAUUCCGCCUGGGGAGUACGACCGCAGAC
This 922-nucleotide ribosomal RNA is filed under the name human gut metagenome. Its description in RNAcentral is "bacterial SSU rRNA". It matches the Rfam family "Bacterial small subunit ribosomal RNA", at positions 8 to 894 of the family's 1533-position model. The record is from RNAcentral.